This is a long non-coding RNA of Perca fluviatilis (European perch), 207 nucleotides long. RefSeq lists it as uncharacterized. Lineage: Eukaryota; Metazoa; Chordata; Actinopteri; Perciformes; Percidae. The transcript is spliced from 3 exons. The record is from RefSeq and is a predicted model, not a curated record.
AGUCCUCUUAAUUAUGUCUUUUGCCAAUGAACCUAAUCUUUAAACUCUUUAGGUUGUAACUGACAUGUUUGUACUUGCUUGAACCAACUAAUUCAGUUUGUCACUGGUUUUCUCAACAGAACAUUGAUACUGCUGUGCGUAAUUGGUUGUGUUGGUUACCCCCGUGGCAAGUCGACAGUGCAGUGCCGUCCAGCUCCUCUCCCUCUC